RNAcentral lists this unclassified non-coding RNA (395 nucleotides) under soil metagenome. RNAcentral describes it as "partial contains 5.8S ribosomal RNA, internal transcribed spacer 2, and large subunit ribosomal RNA". The stretch from base 1 to 122 matches the Rfam family "5.8S ribosomal RNA", at positions 35 to 154 of the family's 154-position model. The record is from RNAcentral.
GAUGAAGGACGUAGCGAAAUGCGAUACUUGGUGUGAAUUGCAGAAUCCCGUGAACCAUCGAGUCUUUGAACGCAAGUUGCGCCCGAAGCCAUCAGGUUGAGGGCACGUCUGCCUGGGCGUCACAUAUCGUUGCCCAAUGCCUAUUGCAGUGCAAUAGGAAUUUCUAGGGCGAAUGAUGGCUUCCCGUGAGCGUUGUUGCCUCGCGGUUGGUUGAAAAUCGAGUCCUUGGUAGGGUGUGCCAUGGUAGAUGGUGGUCGAGUUAGAACGAUACCGAUCAUGUGCAUGCUCCCCAAAAUAUGGCCUCUAUGACCCACACGCGUCUUUUGACGCUCAUGACGAGACCUCAGGUCAGGCGGGGCUACCCGCUGAAUUUAAGCAUAUCAAUAAGCGGAGGA